RNAcentral lists this transfer RNA (68 nucleotides) under Marmota monax (woodchuck). Its description in RNAcentral is "tRNA.Ala". The stretch from base 5 to 65 matches the Rfam family "tRNA", at positions 6 to 65 of the family's 71-position model. Rfam says of the family: Transfer RNA (tRNA) molecules are approximately 80 nucleotides in length. The record is from RNAcentral. Lineage: Eukaryota; Metazoa; Chordata; Mammalia; Rodentia; Sciuridae.
GGAUUGUGGCUCAGUGGUAGAGUGCUUGCCUAGCAUGUAUGAGGCCCUGGGUUCAAUUCUCAGCACCA